GACGAACGCUGGCGGCGUGCUUAACACAUGCAAGUCGAGCGGUAAGGCCCUUUCGGGGGGUACACGAGCGGCGAACGGGUGAAGUAACACGUGGGUGACCUGCCCUCAGCUCUCGGGAUAAGCCGUAGGGAAACCGGGUCUAAUACCGGAUAUCGACUCCAUGACGCAUGUUGUGGGGUGGAAAGCCUUGUGCGGCUGAGGAUGGGCCCGCGGCCUAUCAGCUUGUUGGUGGGGUGAUGGCCUACCAAGGCGACGACGGGUAGCCGGCCUGAGAGGGCGACCGGCCACACUGGGACUGAGACACGGCCCAGACUCCUACGGGAGGCAGCAGUGGGGAA
This 338-nucleotide ribosomal RNA is filed under the name uncultured bacterium. RNAcentral's name for it is "bacterial SSU rRNA". It matches the Rfam family "Bacterial small subunit ribosomal RNA", at positions 28 to 361 of the family's 1533-position model. The record is from RNAcentral.